This 465-nucleotide ribosomal RNA is filed under the name Vreelandella stevensii. RNAcentral's name for it is "partial 16S ribosomal RNA". It matches the Rfam family "Bacterial small subunit ribosomal RNA", at positions 338 to 795 of the family's 1533-position model. Lineage: Bacteria; Pseudomonadati; Pseudomonadota; Gammaproteobacteria; Oceanospirillales; Halomonadaceae. The record is from RNAcentral.
CCUACGGGUGGCUGCAGUGGGGAAUAUUGGACAAUGGGGGCAACCCUGAUCCAGCCAUGCCGCGUGUGUGAAGAAGGCCCUCGGGUUGUAAAGCACUUUCAGUGAGGAAGAACGCCUGGUGGUUAAUACCCAUCAGGAAAGACAUCACUCACAGAAGAAGCACCGGCUAACUCCGUGCCAGCAGCCGCGGUAAUACGGAGGGUGCGAGCGUUAAUCGGAAUUACUGGGCGUAAAGCGCGCGUAGGUGGCUUGAUAAGCCGGUUGUGAAAGCCCCGGGCUCAACCUGGGAACGGCAUCCGGAACUGUCAAGCUAGAGUGCAGGAGAGGAAGGUAGAAUUCCCGGUGUAGAGGUGAAAUGCGUAGAGAUCGGGAGGAAUACCAGUGGCGAAGGCGGCCUUCUGGACUGACACUGACACUGAGGUGCGAAAGCGUGGGUAGCAAACAGGAUUAGAUACCCUUGUAGUC